RNAcentral lists this long non-coding RNA (1084 nucleotides) under Glycine max (soybean). RNAcentral describes it as "long non-coding RNA (GMAX_LNC003099)". Lineage: Eukaryota; Viridiplantae; Streptophyta; Magnoliopsida; Fabales; Fabaceae. The record is from RNAcentral.
UUCAAUUGGUCACACGUGACACGUAUGCAAUAAUAAAAAACAAAUGACAAUCCAACACGCAUAGAAGGGAAGAGAGAAACAUAAGAAAGAAGAUCAAAAGAAAAAGAGAAACAAAUGGCAGCACUGGGUGGCUUUACCGACAUCACUGGAGCACAGAAUAGCAUCGAUAUCGAAAAUCUUAAAUGGAAAAAUAAAUUGUCUUUGGAAGGGAGUAUCUCACCUCUGAAUAAUUUUAUAUCUAUAGAGAGGAAUUAGCCAAAUAAUUAUAACCAUAUGUGCAUAAAAAAUGAAAUUUAAUUCAUUUUUAUAUAUUUUUUGCAGUAUCUUUUUAGUUAUAAAUUGAAAUUUUAUCUUACUAACUCAUGCCAAUUUUUAAUACAAACUUUAUUAUGUAACUGACUAGCUUGGCAGCAAGAGUAAUAUAAUAUGUAUGAACUGAAUAAAUGUAGCUAUUGACUCUAGAAACGGUGUGGGGUUGUGCAUGUUUGCCACCCUAUUUCAGUAUAAAGUACUAGAGAUAAAUAUUACCAUCGAAAUUAAUAAAAUAAUUGAUUAUGUAUUAAUUUAUGCGUGUUUCGUCCAAAGUGUGGAUGGUGAUGAUUCGAACUAUAUAGCAGAAUGAUCUGGUGGAGCGGUCCCUUCUGUACUCAAUGCGAUUAUGUGAUCACAAUCUUGAAGUACUUGCACUCCUUGGAUCCAUCUUAAUAUUUAUGACUUUUAAUUUAAUAACAAACAAAAUAAAGCAUCAUCUAACAACCAAUUAGGUCAUUGUCAACUCUUAAAAAUGACAUUUACAUUGUCAUAAACAAUAAAAAAUUAUACGUAAUAAUAAAUGCAUUACAAACGUUUUAAACAAAUAUAUUAUAAACCAUUCAUAGUUGAUUAGUCAUAAACGUACUUUUUAUGAACAAAAACAUCUAUCAUUCUUAAAAUCACAUACUAUUAUGAUCAAAAGGCGAAAGAAUAUAUAGUUCAUUUUGUAUUCACCACACCUACUAUUAUGAACAAAAGUGCCUACAAAUAAAUAUUAUGAACAAAAGUUUAAAAUACUUAUAUAUUAUGAAUAUAAGCAUAUUAACUGUGC